AUUCCGGUUGAUCCUGCCGGAGGCCAUUGCUAUCGGAGUCCGAUUUAGCCAUGCUAGUCGUGCGAGUUCAGACUCGCGGCACCGAGCUCAGUAACACGUGGCCAAACUACCCUACAGAGACGGAUACCCUCGGGAAACUGAGGUUAACCCGUCAUACCGAUCUCAGGCUUGAAUCGCAGAGAUCACAAAAUGCCCCGGCGCUGUAGGAUGUGGCUGCGGUUGAUUAGGUAGACGGCGGGGCAACGGCCCACCGUGCCCAUAAUCAGUACAGGUUGUGAGAGCAAGAACCUGGAGACGGAAUCUGUAGACAAGAUUCCGGGCCCUACGGGGCGCAGCAGGCGCGAAACCUUUACACUGCACGCACGUGCGAUAAGGGGACUCCGAGUGCGAGGGCAUAUCGUCCUCGCUUUCGUGUACCGUAGGGUGGUACACCAACAAGGGUUGGGCAAGACCGGUGCCAGCCGCCGCGGUAAUACCGGCAGCCCGAGUGAUGGCCGAUCUUAUUGGGCCUAAAGCGUCCGUAGCUGGCUCGCAAGUCCGUCGUG
Molecule: ribosomal RNA, 545 nt
Filed under: uncultured Haloquadratum sp.
Lineage: Archaea; Methanobacteriati; Methanobacteriota; Halobacteria; Halobacteriales; Haloferacaceae
Description: bacterial SSU rRNA
Rfam family: Archaeal small subunit ribosomal RNA
Source: RNAcentral